UAAUACAGAGGGUGCGAGCGUUGUCCGGAAUCACUGGGCGUAAAGGGCGUGUAGGCGGCUGGAUAAGCCGCGUGUGAAAUCCCGGGGCUCAACCCCGGAACGGCACGCGGGACUGUUCGGCUAGAGAAUGGUAGAGGCAAGUGGAAUUCCUGGUGUAGCGGUGGAAUGCGUAGAGAUCAGGAAGAACACCGGUGGCGAAGGCGGCUUGCUGGGCCAUUUCUGACGCUGAGGCGCGAAAGCGUGGGGAGCAAACAGGAUUAGAUACCCUGGUAGUCCACGCUGUAAACGAUGGGUGCUAGGCGUCGGGGGGAGCGACCCUCCCGGUGCCGUCGCUAACGCAAUAAGCACCCCGCCUGGGGAGUACGGCCGCAAGGUUG
This 377-nucleotide ribosomal RNA is filed under the name uncultured bacterium. RNAcentral's name for it is "bacterial SSU rRNA". It matches the Rfam family "Bacterial small subunit ribosomal RNA", at positions 521 to 896 of the family's 1533-position model. The record is from RNAcentral.